Molecule: ribosomal RNA, 133 nt
Filed under: uncultured bacterium
Lineage: Bacteria
Description: partial 16S ribosomal RNA
Source: RNAcentral
UAGGUUAAGUCAAGACCCGAACGUAUUAAGUCCAGGCUUUUCGCCUCUAUUGAAAGUGCUUUACAACCCUCAGGCCUUCUUCACACACGCGGCAUUGCUGGAUCAGGCUUGCGCCCAUUGUCCAAUAUUCCCC